AAUUCACUUGUUUUCCAAUCCUAAUAAAACUGUCAAGAUUCACAUGAUAUUGUAAUGUUUACAUUAUUUUCAAAAUACAAUAUUGUUUACACUAAUGAGAAAAGACAACUCUUCACCAGAGAUUAAAUAGAAGUUAACAGCUAUCAUGACUAUAGGUCACCUUACAUCCUUCAACAAUGAGCAAAGCCCAUGUAUCUAAUAGUCCGCUAUAAAAGACCCCAAAUGAAAAUGAUAAAUUUGUAAAACAUUUCAAACAAGAAAACUAACUAGACUAAUUUAUGUACAAAAAAAGAACAAAAAAACAAAAUAUAAUAUACAGCAACAAACCAAACCACUGAAUUACAGGCUGAUACUCAUGUACAGAAUGUGAUGGGGCUAGACUAGUAGUUUUGUGAUGCCAAACCCAUCUAUCUGGGGAUAUUAUUGUGAACAAGGCCUAACUCAUCAAUCUAAACAAAGCAGAAAGACAUCUUACACAUCCCCUUAACAAAAAAGACUAAGUACAUAUCUGAGAGUACUCCCUGAGUUACAUGUACCAACAGCUAGUUCAAAGCCAAUAACAAGACUUUUGGUGUAAUUAUGAAUAACUUCAAAUUUCAAAGUACAUGAUCAUGCAUGUAUCAUGAUUAUUAAAAUGACUUACU
This 644-nucleotide long non-coding RNA is filed under the name Mytilus galloprovincialis (Mediterranean mussel). Lineage: Eukaryota; Metazoa; Mollusca; Bivalvia; Mytilida; Mytilidae. The record is from RNAcentral.